Molecule: ribosomal RNA, 253 nt
Filed under: uncultured bacterium
Lineage: Bacteria
Description: partial 16S ribosomal RNA
Rfam family: Bacterial small subunit ribosomal RNA
Source: RNAcentral
UACGUAGGGGGCAAGCGUUGUCCGGAUUUAUUGGGCGUAAAGAGCGUGUAGGCGGCUUUACAGGUCCGUUGUGAAAACUCGAGGCUCAACCUCGAGACGCCGGUGGAAACCGUAAGGCUAGAGUCCGGAAGAGGAGAGUGGAAUUCCUGGUGUAGCGGUGAAAUGCGCAGAUAUCAGGAAGAACACCCGUGGCGAAGGCGUCUCUCUGGGACGGUACUGACGCUGAGACGCGAAAGCGUGGGGAGCGAACAGG